RNAcentral lists this long non-coding RNA (530 nucleotides) under Daucus carota (carrot). RNAcentral's name for it is "long non-coding RNA (DCAR_LNC000431)". The record is from RNAcentral. Lineage: Eukaryota; Viridiplantae; Streptophyta; Magnoliopsida; Apiales; Apiaceae.
UUUUCUCACCCAUAAAAUUUAACAUCUUUAGAGGUUCUCUCAAUAUCUAAAAUGGCAAAAAAAGGAGCAGGGCGCAAAAGGAUUCCAAUGGAGAAGAUAGAGGACUCAAGUAAGGUUGGGGUUACCUUCUCAAAACGAAGGUCUGGCCUCUUUAAGAAGGCAUGUGCGGUCCGCUCUCUCUGUGACUGUCAUACGGCUAUUGUUAUCUUCUCAGGGGACAACACAGUUUAUUCUUNCAGGAACCCUGUUUGAUUAAUCUACUACACUGUCACAGUCAUCUGUUUUCUCACUCAUAAAAUUUAACAUCUUUAGAGGUUCUCUCAAUAUCUAAAAUGGCAAAAAAAGGAGCAGGGCGCAAAAGGAUUCCAAUGGAGAAGAUAGAGGACUCAAGUAAGGUUGGGGUUACCUUCUCAAAACGAAGGUCUGGCCUCUUUAAGAAGGCAUGUGCGGUCCGCUCUCUCUGUGACUGUCAUACGGCUAUUGUUAUCUUCUCAGGGGACAACACAGUUUAUUCUUUCGGUGAUCCCUCC